CGGCGCGGCUUCCUCCCGCUGCGUCGGCCUCCUGACCCUGGCGCACCUCGGUCCGGGCGCCAAAGCGGUGCCUCGCGAAAGCUGCACAGCCUGCGACGUCCCCAGUUACCUUCCGCAGCCCAGGUUAGACGCGCCCGGCCUCCGGCUCGCCCCAAAACUGGCCUCUGCAUAUUGUAUCUCACGAGACCUUACCCCUCGGAGGUGAAGGCGUAGGAAGAGAAGAUACAUUCCGUCCAAGGAUGGAAGGGAGCGCCGGGCCCCACGGCCCUACUUAUUUAAAGCUGCGACGUGUGCGGGCUGUAUUCGGCGACGAUCCUGGCCACGGUGCACCCCCACAGCUCCUCGGGAGUUUUGUUUUUAUGGACCCCAGAGGAAAGGCUUAGAUAUGGCUGUUGACUGUGCUGGCACCGUCUGUGUUACCCAGUAAGAUUGGAGCUAGGCAUGGUUAGGAAAGCUGAUUGCAGGAAGAGAGUAGGGUAAGAAAUCGACUACUAGAUCUGCUAAUGGUUAGCUGUUCAUUAUUUAUUUAGCACUUAGCCCUAAAUAAUGCAGCCAUAUCUUACCCUUUCGUUGGCAUGGAAUACAGUGUGUGUAAUACACACAAGGUGCAGAGGCAAUUGUGGCCAUACCCAAAGAAACAGCGCCAGCUCUUGCAACGCUAUGUUGAAGGAUGUUAUUAUGAACCCUAUCAUAGACUAGGCCUAUGGCAAGUCAAGUUGGAGUGAAUGUGUCCCAGUUGUUUUCAGAAAAGAGCAGACUAGGUAGAGAGACAAGGAGAACA
Molecule: long non-coding RNA, 781 nt
Filed under: Homo sapiens (human)
Lineage: Eukaryota; Metazoa; Chordata; Mammalia; Primates; Hominidae
Description: non-protein coding lnc-RAD1-5:1
Source: RNAcentral